UACGAAGGGGGCUAGCGUUGCUCGGAAUUACUGGGCGUAAAGCGCACGUAGGCGGUCUUUUAAGUCGGGGGUGAAAUCCUGGAGCUCAACUCCAGAACUGCCUUCGAUACUGGAAGACUUGAGUCCGGGAGAGGUGAGUGGAACUGCGAGUGUAGAGGUGAAAUUCGUAGAUAUUCGCAAGAACACCGGUGGCGAAGGCGGGUCUCUGGGCAGUAACUGACGCUGAGGAGCGAAAGCGUGGGGAGCGAACAGG
RNAcentral lists this ribosomal RNA (253 nucleotides) under uncultured bacterium. Its description in RNAcentral is "partial 16S ribosomal RNA". It matches the Rfam family "Bacterial small subunit ribosomal RNA", at positions 524 to 776 of the family's 1533-position model. The record is from RNAcentral.